CUCCUUCCUAAGGACUUUGACUUGAUUACUCACAAGAACACUGUAAUAUGUUUCACAACUAAGUAAUUCUCCAAUAGUAUCGAAAAGAAAGUUGAUAAAGCUUGCCUGAAGUAUAUAAUGUGGUUCUGAUCUACCAAACAAUUCCAGCAGGUUUUGAAGAGUGAAAAGCUCCUUAAUGUAUGGCAUGAAAGAGAGAAUGAUUUCUAAAAAGUUUUUGUAAUGUUCAGUCUCUCCGUAUAAGAUGCAGUUGGAGGCUGCAUCAUCAAGGCACUUCAACAGAUCAAUAAAUCACCGGCUGAAGUAAUUUUCCUUGAGUAAUAUGUAUUUAUAGUGCAGUUCUUUUGCAUAUUUUAGACAAAACAGAGAAAGAGGGGGGGGGGGGUAAGAUUGAUUAGAAUUAGUCAUAUGAACAUCUCUAAUUAUAGGGAAAGUUGGUUGAACGUAGACCUUAACCUGAUCAAGUUGGUAUAUUAAGAUAAUUUAAUUAAUGGAAUAAUAAACAAGUGGUGUAAUAUAAUAUCAAAUGAUUUUGUUUUGCUCUUAAAGGUCAACUAGGGAAUAUCUCGACUGAAGAUGCUUUUAUUAAAUUUCCAGUUCCCACCAGAAAUCUCAAUUGAAGGAAAGAAAAAAUUUCAGAUAGGAAUCCACGAAACAAUUUUCACCCUCAUGAAGGAAUCCAUUGAACUUCGGCUAUUGA
RNAcentral lists this long non-coding RNA (697 nucleotides) under Olea europaea (common olive). RNAcentral describes it as "long non-coding RNA (OEUR_LNC008765)". The record is from RNAcentral. Lineage: Eukaryota; Viridiplantae; Streptophyta; Magnoliopsida; Lamiales; Oleaceae.